RNAcentral lists this long non-coding RNA (632 nucleotides) under Macaca mulatta (Rhesus monkey). RNAcentral's name for it is "lncRNA (ENSMMUG00000064631.1)". Lineage: Eukaryota; Metazoa; Chordata; Mammalia; Primates; Cercopithecidae. The record is from RNAcentral.
ACAAUCUUCUCUUGAUGCAGUCCUCAUUCAAUUUCUAAACAUAGAUGUGUUCAGCUCCUCAGUCCAUACUGACUGUUUAAUCUUAUUGAACAUUCAUGUAAUACUUCAUUCUUCAACAAUCUGAAGAAUUGAGAUUUAAGGGAGAGAAAGAAGGAAAAGAAGUGAGAGCUGAUUCCAAAAAAGUGGAAGUAUUCUACAGGGAUAUAUGUUUCAGGGUGAGGACUGAAAUGAAACCAUUUGAUCUGAGAGUUAUCUGGGUACUGUUGAUAUUGGUUUCUGUUCAGAAAAAAGCAUUCCCUGGUGAUCCUAUUGUGGUAGACAUAAAACUGUGCCACCGAGAUCCCAUUCCAGGGAAGAACAUGCUGCUGAGCUGUUGGAAGUACAAUCAGCGGAAAACCUUGGUCUGUCAGCAACUUCAAGGUUUGCCUCCUUUGCAGAAAUGGCCCAUUCAAAGUCAUGCCCUUCCUAUAGCAGUCUACAUUCAUCCACUGAGUGAGGCGGAGAUAAAAAGGACUGAUAAUUUUCAACCCACAGGGGCAUUAAUGAGCCACAGGGGCAUUAAUGAGCAAUACCUGCUCCAGAGCUCCACAGUGGGUUCUCAGAAGGUGUGUCUUGCCUGCAUCACAGCUUGA